This 533-nucleotide ribosomal RNA is filed under the name Kluyveromyces lactis. RNAcentral's name for it is "partial large subunit ribosomal RNA". It matches the Rfam family "Eukaryotic large subunit ribosomal RNA", at positions 83 to 657 of the family's 3401-position model. The record is from RNAcentral. Lineage: Eukaryota; Fungi; Ascomycota; Saccharomycetes; Saccharomycetales; Saccharomycetaceae.
GUAACGGCGAGUGAAGCGGCAAAAGCUCAAAUUUGAAAUCUGGCGUCUUCGACGUCCGAGUUGUAAUUUGAAGAAGGCAACUUUGUAGCUGGUCCUUGUCUAUGUUCCUUGGAACAGGACGUCAUAGAGGGUGAGAAUCCCGUGUGGCGAGGAUCCCAGUUCUUUGUAAAGUGCUUUCGACGAGUCGAGUUGUUUGGGAAUGCAGCUCUAAGUGGGUGGUAAAUUCCAUCUAAAGCUAAAUAUUGGCGAGAGACCGAUAGCGAACAAGUACAGUGAUGGAAAGAUGAAAAGAACUUUGAAAAGAGAGUGAAAAAGUACGUGAAAUUGUUGAAAGGGAAGGGCAUUUGAUCAGACAUGGCGUUUGCUUCGGCUUUCGCUGGGCCAGCGUCGGUUUUAGCGGUUGGAUAAAUCCUCGGGAAUGUGGGUCUGCUUCAGUAGAGUGUUAUAGCCCGUGGGAACACGGCCAGCUGGGACUGAGGAUUGAGACUUUUGUCCAGGAUGCUGGCCUAAUGGUUAAAUGCCGCCGGUCUUGA